GGAACGGGUGCUCGCCGGCCGGCUAAUCUACGACGAGUUGAGUACAAUCCUUUUCUGGGAAGCAGUCGAGGACCAUACCGUGUCGCUGUGUAGUUGAAUGACGCCUGCGGUUCCUUUUUUUUCUUCGCCACUACGAAGCGCCCGUCACCGCCGACGUCCCAUGUCAUGUCCGCCACCACCGCUUAUCUCCUGCCCCAUGCCGUCGGCGUUCCCUCCUCCCAGUCCGCUUCACCGUCGAUGGAAUUGAGAAGAAGCGCUCUUAAUUGGAAGAUUGGAAGCCAUCUUUUUCGAGUUCGGUGGAGAUAGCGGAGCGAGGGGAAAAACAAAUCUCGUUCUCAUAGGCGAGGCGAGGAAGAAGAUUGAAGCUUCAAAGCAAUUAUUAUUUUUGAAUAUGUAGAAAGGGUAAAUAUAAUUAACUGGAGUUGGUCCACAAUGGGCACGUGGCGCCGUCUUACUGGCCCUGCACAGUAACUCCUGCAGGGAGCCCUGCAGGUGAGCCGAACCCACAAAAUACUCUGAGUGACACCCAAACCUCCUGAUCCACAGACCAACCCAACCUAUGACGGAACCCUCAACAACAUGCCGAGUUAUAUAUUAGGAACCCCUUCUAAUGGAGCUCCCUUUGAAGUAAUGGAGCUAUGAGCGACAUUGAGAGAAAACUAAAUUAUUUUUCACCUUAAGAACUGAUAAGAUAGUGGCCGUCUGCUUGGAAGAAAGGCUCACGGAGGAUGAAAAAGUUGGAAGAAGACCCUAUAAGGGUAUACUAUUUAUUCAGAGAAGCCCGCCUUCCGGUAGCGCUUUUAAUACUCAUGUUACUAUUCCUAUUUUUGAUUCCUGCUGUAUUUACUUUCUGUCUUGCCUCUAUGCCUUCCUGGUGAGUGACUGUACCAAAUAAUGGAGGUCGUUAAGUUUCUCAAGAUGAAUAGGCACCUAGUGGUAUCUGUUGAAGAGAGCUCCGCACCGAUGACAACGGUGAUUUGUUGUAUCGGUUUUGUUUUCUGUAUAUGAUUUUUUUCAGCAGCUAAUACAUUUUGUCUCCAUUGGUCUCGUAGCUAUAAGAGUUGGAGAAGGAAAAUUGCUUGCCAUACAUUCAGAUAGCAAGUACCAACACUAUCUGUAGCCCCAGAUAAAUAUGUUUAUUAGGUUA
Molecule: long non-coding RNA, 1147 nt
Organism: Aegilops tauschii subsp. strangulata
Lineage: Eukaryota; Viridiplantae; Streptophyta; Magnoliopsida; Poales; Poaceae
Source: RefSeq, a predicted model, not a curated record